Molecule: long non-coding RNA, 283 nt
Filed under: Eucalyptus grandis
Lineage: Eukaryota; Viridiplantae; Streptophyta; Magnoliopsida; Myrtales; Myrtaceae
Description: long non-coding RNA (EGRA_LNC001465)
Source: RNAcentral
CCUCCGCCGGCCUUCCCUCGCCGUUGUAGCCGCCGGAGCAGCCCCGGCCAGCCCCGACCAGCAACCCACGAAAUGGGUUUCCAGUGGCUUUAGGCCCGCUUUUGAGCCGUUUCCGAGCCCUGAACCCGAGCCGUGCUUUGGGAAGUUUUGUUCCUCGCGUCGCUCCCGUCGGAUUGAUCCGAUUUGCGCGCGAUUUGGUGAGUAAUCUCACUAAUCCAGGAUUAGUUGGCUAAUUAUGCUUAAAGUUGGUUUAGUUUUAAUUAAUUAUGUUUAGGUUGUUAGA